Molecule: long non-coding RNA, 1368 nt
Organism: Polistes canadensis
Lineage: Eukaryota; Metazoa; Arthropoda; Insecta; Hymenoptera; Vespidae
Exons: 3
Source: RefSeq, a predicted model, not a curated record
UUUAUGUGUGUAUUAUACGUGUUUAUUAUUAUCGAGUACGUAAAAACUAAUUGGUGAAGCAUCGAGACUAAUUUGUACUCCUCAAAUAUUUGAUCUCGUAUCAUUCUCAUAAUGAAAUUCCAUAUAUAUAAUUUGUAAACUUGUUAAAACCCCGGUUGGGGAAUGUGGGGGAAGUGGGAGCGGAGGGGGAUGUGGGUUAAGGUUUAUUAUCUUCGGUUUAAAAUAGAAUUAAAAGGACGCUUGGGGAAAAAUUCAAUAAUAGAGAAGAUAAAUGGAUAGAUAAAUAGAUAAUGAAGAAAUAAUAAAUACAAUUGACGCAUUUUUAGGGGAUGAGUGAUGAAACAAAGGAAAAGAAGGAACGCACGGGCGCGUGCUUGCGUAGGUGUCAACCUGGACAACGAUCCCAACGCGCAGUUAAAUUAGAAUUAAUCCGUGAAAUGUUCUGUCAAUUGGAUCAUAAAUUUAUCUGACUUUUUGGACAAUUUAUAUAAGAUUGAAGACUAUCAAUGAAAAUAUACAAAAAAAAUAAUAGUGAUCAUCAAAUCAGUGUAUAUCCUUAUUUGCAAAAUAUAUUUCUAUUCUUAUUUCAAUGAAAUAAUAAUAAUAAUCAUUGUGUCGAACUUCGAACGUAAUUCUGAUAUUGAACAAGAGGAGAUUGAAAUAAAUGUCCGAAGAAUUAAAGAAGAAUUCAUCUUGAAAAGUGGAAUAAAGGGACACGUGAAUCGGGUGUAGGGGGUGGUGGGUGGUUAUUAUCUCGUCGUAACUUGUUAAUCCCUCGAAGAAGGUAAAACGACGAAGCGGAUGCUGCGUACGAAGAGAGUUACGCGAUUAAGAAGACAACGAGGACGACGCCGACGAGGAGGAGAAGGUGGAGGAGGAGGAGGAAGAGGAAGAGGAGGCACUCGCGGUACCAAAGAGAGUCACUGACCUCUCGACCGAUUAAAGUUCAGAGUGUGUGAUGUUUGAUGCUGCAGUGGUGCUUUAUGCGGAGGCGACGAAAAGGAGAGAAAGAGAAAGGAAGGUGGUUGGCUUAACUCUCAUUUAUGUGAGUUGAUCAUAUUCAAGUAUCGUCUUUAAAUUCGUAACGAGAACUCACUUACCGUUAAUCAAGCACGGCAAAAGGAAAGAAAGAAAUUUUUAGUCGAUGCGUUUACCAAAAAGGAAGAAGAAGAAAAAGAGAGAGAGAGAGAGAGAGAGAGAGAGAGAGAAAAAAGAAAGAGAAAACAAACAGAGACAAAAGAGUAUCAAUGAGCAAUGUGCCAGAGAUUAUUCGAAGAGACUCGGGUUCGAUUAGUUCGCGUGUUAUUAUUAUUUCCCUUCUUCUUCGUUUUCGUUAAUCGAUUAUUUCAUUUCAUUCGAACCGAGAAA